AGGGUUAAGUUAGAAAGGGCGCAUGGUGGAUGCCUUGGCACUAGGAGCCUAAGAAGGACGGCACUAACACCGAUAUGCUCCGGGGAGCUGUAAGUAAGCUUUGAUCCGG
Molecule: ribosomal RNA, 109 nt
Filed under: Sporosarcina sp. ANT_H38
Lineage: Bacteria; Bacillati; Bacillota; Bacilli; Caryophanales; Caryophanaceae
Description: partial 23S ribosomal RNA
Rfam family: Bacterial large subunit ribosomal RNA
Source: RNAcentral